AGCAGGGGCUUCACCAGACUGCAUCUUGAUUACACCACCAAGAUCUGCCAUGACAAAAAGUUUGAUUUACGAUAAUUCAUUAGAUAAAACCAUCCAAAAAGCUCCAACAGCAUUAAGUCUAAUAUAAAAAAUUAAAAUUAAUUACACAACACAGUAAUAGAACUUAUGAAACAGAGGAAUUAUGAUAUUAGAUGUAAAUUGGAGUCGAAAUUUUCUUUGUUUGAAUCAAAGCCCAAAAAGAAAACACAGACAAAUUGGGAUUUUUCCUCACAGAACUAGCUUCCUUCAACACCACUUCUAAAACUUCAACAACAAAAAUUGAC
Molecule: unclassified non-coding RNA, 323 nt
Filed under: Hevea brasiliensis (rubber tree)
Lineage: Eukaryota; Viridiplantae; Streptophyta; Magnoliopsida; Malpighiales; Euphorbiaceae
Source: RNAcentral